Armigeres subalbatus is the source of this 1424-nucleotide long non-coding RNA. RefSeq lists it as uncharacterized. The record is from RefSeq and is a predicted model, not a curated record. The transcript is spliced from 3 exons. NCBI's taxonomy places the organism in Eukaryota, Metazoa, Arthropoda, Insecta, Diptera, Culicidae.
AAAUUUGACCCAUGUGUUUCAAAAUGUAUAAAUUUCAAUCAGCUUACACCAUGGAAUCUAAUGCAUUUCAUAUCACUGAGAUGUUUUUCACAAACUCAUUUCAAAUGACAAUGUUUAAAGCAAAUUCCAUACUUGAUACACCGCGAUCUCAUAUAUUUAUCUAACAAAUGUUAUGAAUUGAUUCAAACAAACUUGAGUAGGCAUUCGAACACAUCUAAUUGUGUCACUCUUUCGAAGAGAAAGCACAUGUUUCGUACAAACUAACUUUUUUCAGCUAAUAUUUUGCAGUAAUUUAUUUUUUUCCAAAAAUUCUGGUUAAAAACAAGAAAACUAAUUGAAUUAAUUCGAGACACUGCAGUAGACAACAUGUAGAUAACGAAAUACACAGGUGAUUGAAUUUGAUAGCACUUAAUUAUGUUAUGACAAUAAGUAAAGCCAUUUAACCAAAAAGCUCCAAAUUACUUUCUUAUCAAGAAUAAUCUAUUUGAUUAUUUAUGAAAAAGUUCUUAUAUUUAGCAUUUGUCUAUCUUAGUCCAUAGAGAGAAACAUCGGAUUAGAAAAUGUGUUUCUAUUGACAGAGUUUGGCAUAGUCGAGUACACCAAUAUCGCAGCAAGAGCAUUUUUUAAGAACCCUUGUGGCAGCAGUUCGAUAAGUUCUCGGAACAUCGAACAAUUCAAUUAUCAGAAGCUAACCAAUACAAUAAACAUAAUAAAUACCAGAAUGCCUCAUCAAAAUGUUUAAUUCCUUCGAAGAGACAUGCAAACCGAAAAGCUGGAAUCAACAUGUCAUGGCCAGCAGAUACUUCUUGGCAUUGUGGAUGACAAUUGAAGACUUCUUUUGGAAUCGGUCGUAGGACAGAAGUGAAGGUUGUUUGAUCCACUGAAGAUGGAGACAGCAAGGAUCGGUUCGAGUGUCCGUUGUAAAUAUGCCAACGACAAUGACACCUGCGAAGACAUUUUAUACAUUUGUACAAAAUUUGUUUUUAUUUCAUUUCAUUCGUCCGGAAUUCGAUUUACGUUAAAGAAUUGAAAACCAAUGAAAGAUUGUUUUUUUAUACACCUCCACCGUUGAUUCGUUGGAAGUUUUAGCAAAACAAUGCUUUUUAAAUUUGGUUUCGAUCCUAUGACGGAAAUCGGACUCCGGGCGGAAAUUGCAUUCUUGUAGCUUGUAUCAUUGUAAAUAUAUGAAAUAUAUGUAAUAUAUGAAAGAAAACACGAAAUUCAUUAAUUAACCAAUAAAAUUCAACACGAUUAUACAUCAAAGUCAUUAAGAAAACAAGCGAACAUGUCAAGCCGUUCAAUCCAAAUCGAUUUGUUUUACACGUUAAUACCGUGUGGAUGUUUCAUGAACGGAUGAUGAGUUUCGAUUGAGCGAAGUCGUAAGUUUUACACAUGACAUUGAUUUGCUUUGACAAUUUGCGCAA